Long non-coding RNA from Alnus glutinosa, 630 nucleotides. RefSeq lists it as uncharacterized. The transcript has 3 exons. The record is from RefSeq and is a predicted model, not a curated record. Lineage: Eukaryota; Viridiplantae; Streptophyta; Magnoliopsida; Fagales; Betulaceae.
UUCACCCGUUCGCCCGGAUCUCCUCUCCCUCUCCCUGUUUUGCACGGCCCGACGCAGCCCCCUCCUCUCUCGGCUUCUCCUCGCCCAAACCCCUCUCUCUCCCCCUUCUCUUCUUCCUCUUCCGCCAGCAGCACCGACACCCACUUCUCUUCCUUCUUCUUCUCUUCGGUUUCCACCUGCUGGCCGAGUAAGUGCUGCUGCCGAGAGUGACCUAGCCGUGAGUGUUCCAGAUCGAGAUGGAGAGUGAACCUGGAUUUUUACAGAAAAUCUGUGGGAUCGUGUCAUCAUUGGAGGCUUCAAUGGGUCCUUCAAUGUAGAGUUGGAGUUGUGAGUCCAAUGCAGCCAGAUAGUGUUCCUUUGGCUGCAGGUACUCGGGUCGUAGUUGAUGGGAGUGUAGACGUGCAUUUGAGAUAUUAUGACCGGAGCUCGCCGCGACGGUCGUAAAUGCGGGACCAUGGGCGUCCUCAGUUUUAUAGGUUUUGUUAUGGCUUGUGACGCAUGUGUCACUUGUUAUUGUAUAAAGCCAUUUCUGUUAUGUAUUUAUAUUGAGGAAAGACUUAAACACAUAGAUGUUAAAUGGCUCUUGUUGUUAUUAAUUUAUGAUAGAUGUUUAAGAUGUGAUUUCCGCUA